AGUGAACGCUGGCGGUAGGCCUAACACAUGCGAGUCGAACGGCAGCACAGUAAGAGCUUGCUCUUACGGGUGGCGAGUGGCGGACGGGUGAGGAAUACAUCGGAAUCUACUUUUUCGUGGGGGAUAACGUAGGGAAACUUACGCUAAUACCGCAUACGACCUACGGGUGAAAGCAGGGGAUCUUCGGACCUUGCGCGAUUGAAUGAGCCGAUGUCGGAUUAGCUAGUUGGCGGGGUAAUGGCCCACCAAGGCGACGAUCCGUAGCUGGUCUGAGAGGAUAAUCAGCCACACUGGAACUGAGACACGGUCCAGACUCCUACGGGAGGCAGCAGUGGGGAAUAUUGGGCAAUGGGCGCAAGCCUGAUCCAGCCAUACCGCGUGGGUGAAGAAGGCCUUCGGGUUGUAAAGCCCUUUUGUUGGGAAAGAAAAGCAGCAGGUUAAUACCCCGCUGUUCUGACGGUACCCAAAGAAUAAGCACCGGCUAACUUCGUG
Molecule: ribosomal RNA, 492 nt
Filed under: uncultured bacterium
Lineage: Bacteria
Description: partial 16S ribosomal RNA
Rfam family: Bacterial small subunit ribosomal RNA
Source: RNAcentral